This 369-nucleotide ribosomal RNA is filed under the name Acanthamoeba genotype T3. RNAcentral describes it as "SSU rRNA". The stretch from base 1 to 310 matches the Rfam family "Eukaryotic small subunit ribosomal RNA", at positions 808 to 1116 of the family's 1831-position model. Lineage: Eukaryota; Discosea; Longamoebia; Acanthamoebidae. The record is from RNAcentral.
CAUGGGAUAAUGGAAUAGGACCCUGUCCUCCUAUUUUCAGUUGGUUUGCCGCGAGGACCAGGGUAAUGAUUAAUAGGGAUAGUUGGGGGCAUUAAUAUUUAAUUGUCAGAGGUGAAAUUCUUGGAUUUAUGAAAGAUUAACUUCUGCGAAAGCAUCUGCCAAGGAUGUUUUCAUUAAUCAAGAACGAAAGUUAGGGGAUCGAAGACGAUCAGAUACCGUCGUAGUCUUAACCAUAAACGAUGCCGACCAGCGAUUAGGAGACGUUGAAUACAAAACACCACCAUGCGCAUUGCGGUCGUCUUUGGUGUCGCUCACAAGGCGGCACCGGGGCGGCUUAGCUCGCAUGGCACCGGUGAAUGACUCCCCUAG